GGAGCUACAGCUCAGUGGCAGAGCACCUGCCUUGCAUGCAGAAGGUCCUGGGUUCAAUCCCUGGCAUCUCCA
Molecule: transfer RNA, 72 nt
Filed under: Podarcis lilfordi (Lilford's wall lizard)
Lineage: Eukaryota; Metazoa; Chordata; Lepidosauria; Squamata; Lacertidae
Rfam family: tRNA
About the family: Transfer RNA (tRNA) molecules are approximately 80 nucleotides in length. Their secondary structure includes four short double-helical elements and three loops (D, anti-codon, and T loops).
Source: Rfam by way of RNAcentral